GAGUUUGAUCCUGGCUCAGGAUGAACGCUAGCGGCAGGCCUAAUACAUGCAAGUCGAACGGGAUUUGGGUAGCAAUACCUAAUGAGAGUGGCGCACGGGUGAGUAACGCGUAUGCAACCUACCUUUAACAGGGGUAUAGCUCCGAGAAAUCGGGAUUAAUACCUCAUAGCAUCUAGAGAUCACAUGGUUUUUAGAUUAAAGCUCCGGCGGUUAAAGAUGGGCAUGCGUGCCAUUAGCUAGUUGGUGAGGUAACAGCUCACCAAGGCUAUGAUGGCUAGGGGUUCUGAGAGGACUAUCCCCCACACUGGUACUGAGACACGGACCAGACUCCUACGGGAGGCAGCAGUAAGGAAUAUUGGGCAAUGGACGCAAGUCUGACCCAGCCAUGCCGCGUGCAGGAUGACAGCCUUAUGGGUUGUAAACUGCUUUUAUCAGGGAAUAACCGCUCGUACGUGUACGAGUCUGAAUGUACCUGAAGAAUAAGCACCGGCUAACUCCGUGCCAGCAGCCGCGGUAAUACGGAGGGUGCAAGCGUUAUCCGGAUUUAUUGGGUUUAAAGGGUGCGUA
This 567-nucleotide ribosomal RNA is filed under the name uncultured bacterium. Its description in RNAcentral is "bacterial SSU rRNA". It matches the Rfam family "Bacterial small subunit ribosomal RNA", at positions 9 to 573 of the family's 1533-position model. The record is from RNAcentral.